Non-coding RNA from Pelobates cultripes (western spadefoot toad), 280 nucleotides. The record is from the annotation of a GenBank genome assembly. NCBI's taxonomy places the organism in Eukaryota, Metazoa, Chordata, Amphibia, Anura, Pelobatidae.
CUCAGGAUCUGAGGCAGUACUGUCAGACAUCUGCCAAAGAGUGGGGAAGAGAAGGGCCCCCCUCCAUCCGCUACCUAUUAGUGAAGAUCCGUUCGGCAGAGUAGCUGUUGACAUUAUAGUUGCGAAGGCACUUUGUUGACUCUAGAGAACCUCGGGCCUAUCGCACGUCCCAGUGACAGUGACUUUGCAUUUGGAUGUCAUCCAUAUCAACUUUCGAUGUCAGUUUCUGCGCCUACCAUGGUGACCACAGGUAACGGGGAAUCAGGGUUGGAUUAUGGAG